This 513-nucleotide ribosomal RNA is filed under the name uncultured bacterium. RNAcentral's name for it is "bacterial SSU rRNA". It matches the Rfam family "Bacterial small subunit ribosomal RNA", at positions 15 to 518 of the family's 1533-position model. The record is from RNAcentral.
GAUUAUGGCUCAGGAUGAACGCUAGCUACAGGCUUAACACAUGCAAGUCGAGGGGCAUCAUGGAGUUGCUGCAAACUCUGAUGGCGACCGGCGCACGGGUGAGUAACGCGUAUCCAACCUUCCCUAUAGUAGAGGAUAGCCCGGCGAAAGUCGGAUUAAUACUCUAUGUUUUCCGUUGCAGACAUCUAAGAUGGAACAAAGGCUUGCCGCUAUAGGAUGGGGAUGCGUCUGAUUAGGUAGUCGGCGGGGUAACGGCCCACCGGGCCAUCGAUCAGUAGGGGUUCUGAGAGGAAGGUCCCCCACAUUGGAACUGAGACACGGUCCAAACUCCUACGGGAGGCAGCAGUGAGGAAUAUUGGUCAAUGGGCGAGAGCCUGAACCAGCCAAGUAGCCGUGCAGGACGACGGCCCUAUGGGUUGUAAACUGCUUUUAUGCGGGGAUAAAGUUCACUACGUGUAGUGUUUUGUAGGUACCGCAUGAAUAAGGACCGGCUAAUUCCGUGCCAGCCGCGGC